UACGGAGGGUGCGAGCGUUGUCCGGAAUCAUUGGGCGUAAAGGGCGCGUAGGUGGCCCGGUCAGUCUUUGGUGAAAGCGCGGGGCUCAACCCUGCGUCGGCCAGGGAUACUGCCGCAGCUCGAGCACUGUAGAGGCAGGCGGAAUUCCGGGUGUAGCGGUGGAAUGCGUAGAGAUCCGGAAGAACACUGGUGGCGAAGGCGGCCUGCUGGGCAGUUUAGCUGACACUGAGGCGCGACAGCGUGGGGAGCAAACAGG
Molecule: ribosomal RNA, 256 nt
Filed under: uncultured bacterium
Lineage: Bacteria
Description: partial 16S ribosomal RNA
Rfam family: Bacterial small subunit ribosomal RNA
Source: RNAcentral